CCUACGGUAGGCAGCAGUGGGGAAUAUUGGACAAUGGGCGAAAGCCUGAUCCAGCCAUGCCGCGUGUGUGAAGAAGGCCUUCGGGUUGUAAAGCACUUUCAGUGGGGAAGAAAGCCUUGGGGCUAAUACCCUCGAGGAAGGACAUCACCCACAGAAGAAGCACCGGCUAACUCCGUGCCAGCAGCCGCGGUAAUACGGAGGGUGCGAGCGUUAAUCGGAAUUACUGGGCGUAAAGGGCGCGUAGGCGGUCUGAUAAGCCGGUUGUGAAAGCCCCGGGCUCAACCUGGGAACGGCAUCCGGAACUGUCAGGCUAGAGUGCAGGAGAGGAAGGUAGAAUGAGCGGUGGAGCGGUGAAAUGAGUAGAGAUCGGGAGGAAUACCAGUGGCGAAGGCGGCCUACUAGACUGACACUGACGCUGAGGUGCGAAAGCGUGGGUAGCAAACAGGAUUAGAUACCCGAGUAGUC
RNAcentral lists this ribosomal RNA (465 nucleotides) under Vreelandella stevensii. Its description in RNAcentral is "partial 16S ribosomal RNA". It matches the Rfam family "Bacterial small subunit ribosomal RNA", at positions 338 to 795 of the family's 1533-position model. The record is from RNAcentral. Lineage: Bacteria; Pseudomonadati; Pseudomonadota; Gammaproteobacteria; Oceanospirillales; Halomonadaceae.